ACUCGACUACAUGAAGCUGGAAUCGCUAGUAAUCGCAAAUCAGAAUGUUGCGGUGAAUACGUUCCCGGGUCUUGUACACACCGCCCGUCACACCAUGGGAGUCGGAAAUGCCCGAAGUCUGUGACCCAACGAAAGAGGGAGCAGCCGAAGGCAGGUCUGAUAACUGGGGUGAAGUCGUAACAAGGUAGC
RNAcentral lists this ribosomal RNA (189 nucleotides) under uncultured bacterium. RNAcentral describes it as "partial 16S ribosomal RNA". It matches the Rfam family "Bacterial small subunit ribosomal RNA", at positions 1310 to 1500 of the family's 1533-position model. The record is from RNAcentral.